CCUACGGGAGGCAGCAGUGGGGAAUAUUGGACAAUGGGGGGAACCCUGAUCCAGCGACGCCGCGUGAGUGAAGAAGUAUUUCGGUAUGUAAAGCUCUAUCAGCAGGGAAGAAAAUGACGGUACCUGACUAAGAAGCCCCGGCUAACUACGUGCCAGCAGCCGCGGUAAUACGUAGGGGGCAAGCGUUAUCCGGAUUUACUGGGUGUAAAGGGAGCGUAGACGGUGCAGCAAGUCUGAUGUGAAAGGUCGGGGCCCAACCCCGGGACUGCAUUGGAAACUGUUGAACUGGAGUACAGGAGAGGGAAGGGGAAUUCCUAGUGGAGCGGGGAAAGGGGGAGAGAGUAGGGGGAACACCAGUGGAGAGGGGGGUUUACUGGACUGUAACUGACGUUGAGGCUCGAAAGCGUGGGGAGAAAACAGGAUUAGAAACCCGAGUAGUC
Molecule: ribosomal RNA, 440 nt
Filed under: uncultured bacterium
Lineage: Bacteria
Description: partial 16S ribosomal RNA
Rfam family: Bacterial small subunit ribosomal RNA
Source: RNAcentral